AAUAGAUACCCGGGUAGUCCACGCCGUAAACGUUGGGCGCUAGGUGUGGGGAACCUUCCACGUUCUCCGUGCCGUAGCUAACGCAUUAAGCGCCCCGCCUGGGGAGUACGGCCGCAAGGCUAAAACUCAAAGGAAUUGACGGGGGGCCCGCACAAGCGGCGGAGCAUGCGGCUUAAUUCGAUGCAACGCGAAGAACCUUACCUAGGCUUGACAUAUACCGAAAACCUCACAGAGAUGUGGGGUCCGCAAGGGCGGUAUACAGGUGGUGCAUGGUUGUCGUCAGCUCGUGUCGUGAGAUGUUGGGUUAAGUCCCGCAACGAGCGCAACCCUCGUCCUAUGUUGCCAGCGCGUUAUGGCGGGGUACUCAUAGGAGACUGCCGGGGUCAACUCGGAGGAAGGUGGGGAUGAGGUCAAAUCAUCAUGCCCCUUAUGUCUAGGGCUGCACGCAUGCUACAAUGGUCGGUACAAAGGGCUGCGAUACCGCAAGGUGGAGCGAAUCCCGAAAAAGCCGGCCUCACGUUCGGAUUGGGGUCUGCAACUCGACCCC
Molecule: ribosomal RNA, 547 nt
Filed under: uncultured bacterium
Lineage: Bacteria
Description: bacterial SSU rRNA
Rfam family: Bacterial small subunit ribosomal RNA
Source: RNAcentral